UCUGGAGAAGCACGAAUCAUUGUGUUCACUACUAAUCACAAAGAAGUUUUGGACCCUGCAUUACUUCGUCCUGGGCGAAUGGAUAUGCACAUUCACAUGUCCUACUGCACUACUCAAGGCUUCAGAGUUUUGGCUUUGAACUAUCUUGGAAUUCAUGACCACAAACUCUACCAAGAAAUUGAUGGAUUAGUGGAGAGUACAAAGGUUACCCCUGCUUCUUUAGCUGAGGAGCUAAUGAAGAGUGAUGAUGCUAAUGUUGCUCUUAGAGAAGUUGUCAAUUUCCUUAAGAGAAAAAAGGGGGAAGAAGAUCAAAUUGAAGAAGAAAAUAAAAGACAGAGAACUGUUUGAUAAAAAUAUAAUAAUAGUAAUCCUGGCUAAAUUAGAAUGAGACUAUCAGCUUACUACUUUUUUUCUUCGUUUUGGUCAUGAUGCCUUAGAUCGAAUGAUUUGCAGAAAUUUUA
Molecule: unclassified non-coding RNA, 461 nt
Filed under: Hevea brasiliensis (rubber tree)
Lineage: Eukaryota; Viridiplantae; Streptophyta; Magnoliopsida; Malpighiales; Euphorbiaceae
Source: RNAcentral